CUAAACGUUGAUGGUUUUCCAAUGAAUCUUAUGAAGGUAUUUAUUUAUUUUGGUUUUUAAUCGUCAACUCACCGUUGUGCAAGUUCGACCUUCAAUCUCAGUCUCUGGUAUUAUAUUUGUUUCACAUUCGACCUUCGGUAGCCCAACUGAUUCAUGUUUCAGUCUUUGGUGCUUCUAUUCUUAGUUUUCAACAUUCUACUACUUCGCUUCCUAGUUUUCUUCUAGCACUCUGUGCUUCUUAAUUUCUUCUAUAGAUCAACCGAAUGAGCAUGAUAUGAAUAUAGAUUGGACCGAUUCAGAUCGGUCAGAAGGGGCCAUUAGAUCUCGAGGUGAAGAUAAGGAAACUUUGACUUCAUUAAAGAGGGAAGGGUUUGGCGUCGAGGCUACUUCCAUGCCUUCUGGUUCUUUUGUAUGGGAUCCUUUUGACCCUUAGCAAGUUCGAAAUUAAGGAAAUUAGGCUUCACUGCUAGAUUCCUAAGGACUACUAGCUUAGUCACGUGAGAAAAAUCAAAUAGCUGAUGACCUUGUUAUUAGUAAGGGUUGCAUUACAAUUUUUGUUGACCAACUAAAGGCAGGUUUGCAGUUUCCUACAGAUCCGUUCUAUGUGCUAUUUUGAAACUGUUUUGAAUUUGUAUUGGUUGCUUUUGGCUCCUUAUGUUGUGUUAACCAUAUUGAGCCUUUUGCUUGCAUUUUCGCCUCCAUGUACUCUUUAACUCAUCGAGAUAACAAGGCGUUCUACUAUUUUACAUCAAAGAAAGGGUUUAGUCUAUUUAAUGGUUUUCCUUCCUCCCUAAAGGGGUGAAAAUCAUGUUUCUUCCUGUUGAAGCAUCCUUCUGAUAAUGGAUGGGGUGGAUUUCCUUUAAAU
This 865-nucleotide long non-coding RNA is filed under the name Manihot esculenta (cassava). RNAcentral's name for it is "long non-coding RNA (MESC_LNC001435)". Lineage: Eukaryota; Viridiplantae; Streptophyta; Magnoliopsida; Malpighiales; Euphorbiaceae. The record is from RNAcentral.